Cygnus olor (mute swan) is the source of this 1286-nucleotide long non-coding RNA. RefSeq lists it as uncharacterized. NCBI's taxonomy places the organism in Eukaryota, Metazoa, Chordata, Aves, Anseriformes, Anatidae. The transcript is spliced from 3 exons. The record is from RefSeq and is a predicted model, not a curated record.
AAUCAACCCACAAACCCUUUCAACAAAAGAGCAGUAGCUGUUUAGGACACCUGCUGAUAUAAAUGAUCUUCCUACAGUAGCUAAUUAGUUCAUAGGUAAAGUCCCAGCUGAGAGCACCUGGAACAUGCAGAACUGAAUCUGAGUUUUGUAGAGCCAAUAGCACUUAGUAAUAUGUAGUGAAAAUAUUGUUCUCUUUAGAUCAGCUGCUGAUAGCUGUAUGGCCAAAGUAGAUGUCGAAGAAAUUGCUUAAAGGUUUAGAAUGGCUUCUCAUUGAAAUCACUUGGAAGAAAUGGGCAACACUUGGAAAAUCUGCCUGAUAGCAAUCUGUGGAGGUUUCUUGAAAUGGUACAACUUUGAAGGUAGAACUACUGAUACAGUAACUCACAUGGAACUCUGAUAGAAGCCUCCUGGCCCUAAAUUCUCCAUUUCAUAUACCUGAAAGAGGUCAGACAAUGGAACAUUAGGGCAAAAUAUGAUUGUAUUGAUACGUGAGCAAAGGUCAACCAACCGGAGAGAAGCAGAUUUCACUACUGGAUGGAGAAAGUUCCCUAACAUGGUGGUAAGCUUAGUGAAAUCAUCUUUCAUAGUUUUCAGGAGUGAAAUUAGAUCGAAAUCUGUAUUGUGAUAAAAGGAUUACUAGGGUCCUCAUAGGAAAAACGAGGUGAACUGGAAAGUUAGCAACUGAGGUACAUGGAAGUAAAUGGUUAUAUCAUAUUCUUGGAAGAAAAAUCUUAGGAAAACAACCAGAUUCCAUUUUAAGACAAGAACAACUCCAACUGUGAUUGUUUCUGAAAAGCAACAAUGUAAAAAACCUGUUUGCUACAGAUACAGGAUUUCUUUUGUAAAAUAAACUUAUCUGGUAUGUCUGAUUAUUUUUAUAUUUUUUCCUUGUUUGAUCAGCAUGUAUUGUGAGCUCGGUUUUAUGCAUAAGUUGGUGCUCAUGGAUGCGUUUGGGCUUCUCUUGGGUAAGGACUGUGUGGGCUUUUGAACAAUAGUCUGCCAAGCAAUGUAUCAUGAAUCCUAAUUGUUUGAGAAAACAGUUGUUCUUUUUCUCCAGCAAAUACUGUUGUAUCCACAUUAUUAACAUAGUUAUGUAUAGUCGUUUUGAAAAUCAUUCUCGGUUUGAAGAAUUCUAAUGCUUCAUACAGUGAUUAUGCAAAAGUCUCAUGUAUAAGCAAUACCGAUGUUACUGGAAGCGCCUCAUAUAGAGUCCAAAUAUAGCAGAUCAAAUCAAAACUGUGCUACAUCUUAAGCAACUGUUGACCCAUUUCCAUAUCAAAUUGGUU